GGAGGGUGCAAGCAUUAAUCGGAUUUAUUGGGCGUAAAGGGCGCGUAGGCGGAAAAGCAAGUCAUGAUUGAAAUUCCAAGGCUCAACCUUGGAACUGGUCAUGAAACUGCUUAUCUAGAGGAAAGGCGGAGAAAAUGGAAUUCCACGUGUAGCGGUGAAAUGCGUAGAUAUGUGGAAGAACACCGGUGGCGAAAGCGGUUUUUCUAGCUUUUAACUGACGCUGAGGCGCGAAAGCGAGGGUAGCAAACAGGGAUUAGAUACCCUGGUAGUCCUCGCCGUAAACGAUGCAUACUUGAUGUAGGCAGGCUCAACCCCCCCUGGCUGUGUCGAAGCUAACGCGAUAAGUAUGCCCGCCUGGGAAGUACGCUCGCAAGGGUG
This 378-nucleotide ribosomal RNA is filed under the name uncultured organism. Its description in RNAcentral is "partial 16S ribosomal RNA". It matches the Rfam family "Bacterial small subunit ribosomal RNA", at positions 527 to 896 of the family's 1533-position model. The record is from RNAcentral.